AUUGAACGCUGGCGGCAUGCCUUACACAUGCAAGUCGAACGGCAGCACGGGUGCUUGCACCUGGUGGCGAGUGGCGAACGGGUGAGUAAUACAUCGGAACGUACCUUAUCGUGGGGGAUAACGCAGCGAAAGCUGUGCUAAUACCGCAUACGCCCUGAGGGGGAAAGCGGGGGAUCGAAAGACCUCGCGCGAUUAGAGCGGCCGAUGCCUGAUUAGCUUGUUGGUGGGGUAAAAGCCCACCAAGGCGACGAUCAGUAGCUGGUCUGAGAGGACGAUCAGCCACACUGGGACUGAGACACGGCCCAGACUCCUACGGGAGGCAGCAGUGGGGAAUUUUGGACAAUGGGGGCAGCCCUGAUCCAGCAAUGCCGCGUGAGUGAAGAAGGCCUUCGGGUUGUAAAGCUCUUUUGUCAGGGAAGAAACACCGGCUCUAACGCAGUCCGGGAAUGACGGUACCUGAAGAAUAAGCACCGGCUAACUACGUGCCAGCAGCCGCGGUAA
This 501-nucleotide ribosomal RNA is filed under the name uncultured bacterium. RNAcentral describes it as "partial 16S ribosomal RNA". It matches the Rfam family "Bacterial small subunit ribosomal RNA", at positions 29 to 523 of the family's 1533-position model. The record is from RNAcentral.